RNAcentral lists this ribosomal RNA (774 nucleotides) under Halomonas sp. MMRF715. Its description in RNAcentral is "bacterial SSU rRNA". It matches the Rfam family "Bacterial small subunit ribosomal RNA", at positions 276 to 1042 of the family's 1533-position model. Lineage: Bacteria; Pseudomonadati; Pseudomonadota; Gammaproteobacteria; Oceanospirillales; Halomonadaceae. The record is from RNAcentral.
ACGAUCCGUAGCUGGUCUGAGAGGAUGAUCAGCCACAUCGGGACUGAGACACGGCCCGAACUCCUACGGGAGGCAGCAGUGGGGAAUAUUGGACAAUGGGGGAAAGCCUGAUCCAGCCAUGCCGCGUGUGUGAAGAAGGCCCUCGGGUUGUAAAGCACUUUCAGCGAGGAAGAACGCCUAGCGGUUAAUACCCGCUAGGAAAGACAUCACUCGCAGAAGAAGCACCGGCUAACUCCGUGCCAGCAGCCGCGGUAAUACGGAGGGUGCAAGCGUUAAUCGGAAUUACUGGGCGUAAAGCGCGCGUAGGUGGCUUGAUAAGCCGGUUGUGAAAGCCCCGGGCUCAACCUGGGAACGGCAUCCGGAACUGUCAAGCUAGAGUGCAGGAGAGGAAGGUAGAAUUCCCGGUGUAGCGGUGAAAUGCGUAGAGAUCGGGAGGAAUACCAGUGGCGAAGGCGGCCUUCUGGACUGACACUGACACUGAGGUGCGAAAGCGUGGGUAGCAAACAGGAUUAGAUACCCUGGUAGUCCACGCCGUAAACGAUGUCGACCAGCCGUUGGGUGCCUAGCGCACUUUGUGGCGAAGUUAACGCGAUAAGUCGACCGCCUGGGGAGUACGGCCGCAAGGUUAAAACUCAAAUGAAUUGACGGGGGCCCGCACAAGCGGUGGAGCAUGUGGUUUAAUUCGAUGCAACGCGAAGAACCUUACCUACUCUUGACAUCCUGCGAAUUUGGUAGAGAUACCUUAGUGCCUUCGGGAACGCAGAGACAGGUGCU